UCAAAGGCUCUUUUAAGAGCCAUCUAUACUUACUAGAGAUCUGUGG
Molecule: non-coding RNA, 46 nt
Organism: Otolemur garnettii (small-eared galago)
Lineage: Eukaryota; Metazoa; Chordata; Mammalia; Primates; Galagidae
Source: Rfam